UACGUAGGGGGCAAGCGUUGUUCGGAAUUACUGGGCGUAAAGGGCCAGUAGGCGGCCAACUAAGUCCGAUGUGAAAUCCCCAAGCUUAACUUGGGAACUGCGUCGGAUACUGGAUGGCUUGAAUUCGGGAGAGGGAUGCAGAAUUCCAGGUGUAGCGGUGAAAUGCGUAGAUAUCUGGAGGAACACCGGUGGCGAAGGCGGCAUUCUGGACCGAUAUUGACGCUGAGGAGCGAAAGCCAGGGGAGCAAACGGG
Molecule: ribosomal RNA, 253 nt
Filed under: uncultured bacterium
Lineage: Bacteria
Description: partial 16S ribosomal RNA
Rfam family: Bacterial small subunit ribosomal RNA
Source: RNAcentral